This 677-nucleotide ribosomal RNA is filed under the name uncultured Bacteroidales bacterium. Its description in RNAcentral is "bacterial SSU rRNA". It matches the Rfam family "Bacterial small subunit ribosomal RNA", at positions 77 to 753 of the family's 1533-position model. Lineage: Bacteria; Pseudomonadati; Bacteroidota; Bacteroidia; Bacteroidales. The record is from RNAcentral.
UGCUUUGAUGGAUGGCGACCGGCGCACGGGUGAGUAACACGUAUCCAACCUGCCGACAACACUGGGAUAGCCUUUCGAAAGAAAGAUUAAUACCGGAUGGCAUAGUUUUCCCGCAUGGGAUGACUAUUAAAGAAUUUCGGUUGUCGAUGGGGAUGCGUUCCAUUAGGCAGUUGGCGGGGUAACGGCCCACCAAACCUACGAUGGAUAGGGGUUCUGAGAGGAAGGUCCCCCACAUUGGAACUGAGACACGGUCCAAACUCCUACGGGAGGCAGCAGUGAGGAAUAUUGGUCAAUGGACGAGAGUCUGAACCAGCCAAGUAGCGUGAAGGAUGACUGCCCUAUGGGUUGUAAACUUCUUUUAUACGGGAAUAAAGUGAGCCACGUGUGGCUUUUUGUAUGUACCGUAUGAAUAAGGAUCGGCUAACUCCGUGCCAGCAGCCGCGGUAAUACGGAGGAUCCGAGCGUUAUCCGGAUUUAUUGGGUUUAAAGGGAGCGUAGGCGGGUUGUUAAGUCAGUUGUGAAAGUUUGCGGCUCAACCGUAAAAUUGCAGUUGAUACUGGCGACCUUGAGUGCAACAGAGGUAGGCGGAAUUCGUGGUGUAGCGGUGAAAUGCUUAGAUAUCACGAAGAACUCCGAUUGCGAAGGCAGCUUACUGGAUUGUAACUGACGCUGAUGCU